GAUGAACGCUGACAGAAUGCUUAACACAUGCAAGUCAACUUGAAUUUGGGUUUUUUAACUUAGAUUUGGGUGGCGGACGGGUGAGUAACGCGUAAAGAACUUGCCUCACAGCUAGGGACAACAUUUGUAAACGAAUGCUAAUACCUGAUAUUAUGAUUAUAAGGCAUCUUAGAAUUAUGAAAGCUAUAUGCGCUGUGAGAGAGCUUUGCGUCCCAUUAGCUAGUUGGAGAGGUAACGGCUCACCAAGGCGAUGAUGGGUAGCCGGCCUGAGAGGGUGAACGGCCACAAGGGGACUGAGACACGGCCCUUACUCCUACGGGAGGCAACAGUGGGGAAUAUUGGACAAUGGACCAAGAGUCUGAUCCAGCAAUUCUGUGUGCACGAUGACGUUUUUCGGAAUGUAAAGUGCUUUCAGUUGGGAAGAAAAAAAUGACGGUACCAACAGAAGAAGUGACGGCUAAAUACGUG
Molecule: ribosomal RNA, 468 nt
Filed under: uncultured bacterium
Lineage: Bacteria
Description: partial 16S ribosomal RNA
Rfam family: Bacterial small subunit ribosomal RNA
Source: RNAcentral